RNAcentral lists this small nuclear RNA (103 nucleotides) under Zalophus californianus (California sea lion). The record is from RNAcentral. Lineage: Eukaryota; Metazoa; Chordata; Mammalia; Carnivora; Otariidae.
UUGCUUCGGUAGCACAUAUACUAAAACUGGAAGGAUACAGAGAAGAUUAGCAUGGUCACUGUGCAAGGAUGACACACAAAUUCAUGAAGCGUUCCAUAUUUUA